AGCAGCCGCGGUAAUUCCAGCUCCAAUAGCGUAUAUUAAAGUUGUUGCAGUUAAAAAGCUCGUAGUUGAAUUUCGAGACCGGUUUAUUGGUCGUGCUUUUGUACGUACUGGUAUUAUUGGUUUCUCCUUUCUGACGAAUCUUAAUGCCAUUAAUUUGGUGUUUUGGGGAAUCAGGACUGUUACUUUGAAAAAUUAGAGUGUUUAAAGCAGGCUCACGCUUGAAUACAUUAGCAUGGAAUAACGGAAUAGGACGUUUGAUUCUAUUUUGUUGGUUUCUAGGAUCGACGUAAUGAUUAAUAGGGAUAGUUGGGGCAUUAGUAUUCAAUUGUCAGAGGUGAAAUUCUUGGAUUUAUUGAAGACUAACUACUGCGAAAGCAUUUGCCAAGGAUGUUUUCAUUAAUCAAGAACGAAAGUUAGGGACCGAAGACGAUCAGAUACCGUCGUAGUCUUAACCAUAAACUAUGCCGACUAGGGAUCGGAUGAUGUUAAUUUUUUAAUGACUCAUUCGGCGCCUUACGGG
Molecule: ribosomal RNA, 520 nt
Filed under: uncultured Glomus
Lineage: Eukaryota; Fungi; Glomeromycota; Glomeromycetes; Glomerales; Glomeraceae
Description: SSU rRNA
Rfam family: Eukaryotic small subunit ribosomal RNA
Source: RNAcentral